GUAAGGAAUAUUGGUCAAUGGGCGGAAGCCUGAACCAGCCAUGCCGCGUGCAGGACGACGGCCCUACGGGUUGUAAACUGCUUUUGCCCGGGAAUAACCCCCCGCUCUUGAGCGGGGCUGAACGUACCGGGAGAAUAAGGAUCGGCUAACUCCGUGCCAGCAGCCGCGGUAAUACGGAGGAUCCGAGCGUUAUCCGGAUUUAUUGGGUUUAAAGGGUGCGUAGGCGGCCUGUUAAGUCAGGGGUGAAAUACGGCAGCUCAACUGUCGCAGUGCCCUUGAUACUGACGGGCUUGAAUACCGGUGAAGGCGGCGGAAUGAGACAAGUAGCGGUGAAAUGCAUAGAUAUGUCUCAGAACCCCGAUUGCGAAGGCAGCUGCCUAACCGGCGAUUGACGCUGAUGCACGAAAGCGUGGGGAUCGAACAGGAUUAGAAACCCCGGUAGUCC
Molecule: ribosomal RNA, 445 nt
Filed under: uncultured bacterium
Lineage: Bacteria
Description: partial 16S ribosomal RNA
Rfam family: Bacterial small subunit ribosomal RNA
Source: RNAcentral